Molecule: unclassified non-coding RNA, 255 nt
Filed under: Ligularia franchetiana
Lineage: Eukaryota; Viridiplantae; Streptophyta; Magnoliopsida; Asterales; Asteraceae
Source: RNAcentral
UCGAAACCUGCAUAGCAGAACGACCCGUGAACAUGUAACAACAUUUGGGUGUCCUUGGUAUCGGGCUCUUGUUCGAUUAAUUGGAUGCCUUGUCGAUGUGCGUCUUUGGUCAGCCCUUUGGGUCCUAAGGACGUCACUUGGCGCAACAACAACCCCCCGGCACGGCAUGUGCCAAGGAAAAUUAAACUUAAGAAGGGCUUGUACCAUGCUUCCCCGUUUGCGGGGUUUGCAUGGGAUGUGGCUUCUUUAUAAUCA